GUUGCAAAACGGCCUAUCGCUACUUACUCCGGUGAGUAGAGGAAAGUCCGGGCAACGUAGGGCAGUGUACCUCUAGAAAUAGUGGGUAUCCGUGUAGGAAUGCACAGAUAACAGAAAGGGUAGCAGAAAAUAACCGCUCCGAGUAAUCGUGAGUAAGGGUGAAAAAGUGAGGUAAGAGCUCACACGCUCGAGUGGUAACACUCGUUUGGUACAAACCUUGCACGUUGUAAUACCAAGUAAACUGCAGGCUGAGGGCGGCUCGUCCGAUUUUCGCUUAGGUGAGAAACUGCAGAGGGUAGGUAGCUUAGAUAAAUGAUGGGCUCCUCGCUUCGGCGAGUAGACAGAACCCGGCUUACAGUUUUGCAUUUUUU
RNAcentral lists this RNase P RNA (371 nucleotides) under Bacteroidota bacterium. RNAcentral describes it as "Bacteroidetes bacterium (marine metagenome) RNase P RNA component class A". It matches the Rfam family "Bacterial RNase P class A". From Rfam's summary of the family: Ribonuclease P (RNase P) is a ubiquitous endoribonuclease, found in archaea, bacteria and eukarya as well as chloroplasts and mitochondria. Its best characterised activity is the generation of mature 5'-ends of tRNAs by cleaving the 5'-leader elements of precursor-tRNAs. The record is from RNAcentral. Lineage: Bacteria; Pseudomonadati; Bacteroidota.